Small nuclear RNA from Vulpes vulpes (red fox), 132 nucleotides. The record is from Ensembl. Lineage: Eukaryota; Metazoa; Chordata; Mammalia; Carnivora; Canidae.
AUAAAGGACUUCUCUUGUGAGCAGCAUGUGUAGGACAGUUCCAUAUCUCUUCUUGCAGAAUUGACAUCAAGAGAUUUUAGAAGCAUGAUUUUUGUACCUGGGCAGCUGGUGAUUGUUGGUCUCAGUGCCUCC